GGCUCGUUGGUCUAGGGGUCUGUUUCUCGCUUUGGGUGCGAGAGGUCCCGGGUUCAAAUCCCGGACGAGCCC
Molecule: transfer RNA, 72 nt
Filed under: Pangasianodon hypophthalmus (striped catfish)
Lineage: Eukaryota; Metazoa; Chordata; Actinopteri; Siluriformes; Pangasiidae
Rfam family: tRNA
About the family: Transfer RNA (tRNA) molecules are approximately 80 nucleotides in length.
Source: Rfam by way of RNAcentral